CUGACCUCAGAUCAGGCGGGACUACCCGCUGAACUUAAGCAUAUCAAUAAGCGGAGGAAAAGAAACUAACAAGGAUUCCCCUAGUAACUGCGAGUGAAGCGGGAAAAGCUCAAAUUUAAAAUCUGGCGGUUUUGGCCGUCCGAGUUGUAGUCUGGAGAAGUGUUUUCCGCGCUGGACCGUGUACAAGUCUCUUGGAACAGAGCGUCAUAGAGGGUGAGAAUCCCGUCUCUGACACGGACUACCAGUGCUUUGUGAUGCGCUCUCGAAGAGUCGAGUUGUUUGGGAAUGCAGCUCAAAAUGGGUGGUAAAUUCCAUCUAAAGCUAAAUAUUGGCGAGAGACCGAUAGCGAACAAGUACCGUGAGGGAAAGAUGAAAAGCACUUUGGAAAGAGAGUUAAACAGUACGUGAAAUUGCUGAAAGGGAAACGCUUGAAGUCAGUCGCGUCGUUUGGAACUCAGCCUUGCUUUUUUGCUUGGUGCACUUUCUGAACGACGGGCCAGCAUCGAUUUCGAUUGUCGGAAAAGGGCUGGGGGAAUGUGGCACCUUCGGGUGUGUUAUAGCCUUCAGUCACAUACGGCGGUUGGGAUCGAGGAACGCAGCGCGCCGCAAGGCAGGGGUUCGCCCACUUUCGCGCUUAGGAUGCUGGCGUAAUGGCUUUAAACGACCCGUC
RNAcentral lists this ribosomal RNA (670 nucleotides) under Picipes badius. Its description in RNAcentral is "eukaryotic LSU rRNA". It matches the Rfam family "Eukaryotic large subunit ribosomal RNA", at positions 1 to 653 of the family's 3401-position model. The record is from RNAcentral. Lineage: Eukaryota; Fungi; Basidiomycota; Agaricomycetes; Polyporales; Polyporaceae.